Molecule: ribosomal RNA, 456 nt
Filed under: uncultured Spirochaeta sp.
Lineage: Bacteria; Pseudomonadati; Spirochaetota; Spirochaetia; Spirochaetales; Spirochaetaceae
Description: bacterial SSU rRNA
Rfam family: Bacterial small subunit ribosomal RNA
Source: RNAcentral
CGACAAGCGGUGGAGCAUGUGGUUUAAUUCGAUGAUACGCGAGAAACCUUACCAGGGCUUGACAUAUACAGGAAUGUUGUAGAGAUACAGCAGCCGCUUGCGGUCUGUAUACAGGUGCUGCAUGGCUGUCGUCAGCUCGUGCUGUGAAGUGCUGGGUAAGUCCCGCAACGAGCGCAACCCCUAUCAUCUGUUGCCAGCAUUUAAGGUGGGGACUCAGAUGAGACUGCCGGUGACAAACCGGAGGAAGUGGGGACGACGUCAAGUCAUCAUGGCCCUUAUGUCCUGGGCUACACACGUGCUACAAUGGCCGGUACAGAGUGAAGCGAAACCGCGAGGUGAAGCAAAACGCAGAAAGCCGGUCUCAGUACGGAUUGGAGUCUGAAACUCGACUUCAUGAAGUUGGAAUCGCUAGUAAUCGCGCAUCAGCAUGGCGCGGUGAAUACGUUCCCGGGCCUU